CGCAACAUUUGCACGGAAUCCCCCCCCCGCCACACACACACACCUUGUUUAAAAAUAGAAAAAAAGUGGGAAAAAAGCAGUGAAACCCCGCGGGGCGGGAAGAGCGGGAAGAACCCGCGGGGUUGCUCCGCACAGGCGCGUUGUGGAGAGGAGCGGGGCGGGAGUGGCGGGAAACUGGAACCGGCGGCGGUGUGUGGCAAUGAGUGCGCUAGAGCAGCGCGGCCGUGCCCGCAAGCAGAGGGGGAUCCAUGCGGAUAGUUACAGAUGAUGUGUGUGUCCAUGCAUGUUAACACGCCUCAAGACCGGUAGCCCGGCAGGAAGCACGGCAAACCCCAGCAAAGCCCGCUUCGCGCCGGGCGCCUCAGCCAGCGUGCAAAGCCAGACACCACGUGACGCCGCGCAGAGCCCGCCAGACCGCGCACGUGGCAGGCAUGCCGCGGCCUCGUGAGCUGCAGCAGAACGGCACGGGGUGAUUGGCUGGGGCGUGUCACUCCCCGCCAAUCAGGAGACGGCAGGAGGAAAGUUUCCCCCCACGUGCCCCAGAGACAAGGUGAGGAAGAGGCGCUGAGGGGGACUGACCCCUCCCCCGAGGUUUCCUAUUGGUCCCCCAUCAGGGGCGGGGCCUCCAGAAGGAAUAAAAGGCCGCGUGCGGCGCACGUGGGCGGAUUCGACGAUUGGCUGCGGUGGCGGAGGGCAGAGAAGAGCUGGUAGAGCUGGCCAGCGGGGGGGAGCGGUAACCCCAGAAGUGCCCUGAAGCGGCAGCGGCGUCUGCCUCACUGCAGCACGAGGAGGGCGGAGAAGAGCUGGUCAGCGGGGCGGGGGGGAGCGGUAACUCCGGAAGAUCUGAAGAGGCAGCGGCGCCCCGAGGAGGUGAGGCGGAGCCCCCCUGCCCGCUCUGUGCCGGGGGGGGGCACGUGGGCUGCAGUUGGGGACCUACGGCCCCUCUGCAGGCCCGGGGCUGUGAAAGGCUGUGGGGAGUGACGUCCCGAGCCACGUGGGUGCUGCGUGGCUCGUAGCACCUGUCAAGCACCGGUGACCCGCGGGGCGGGCAGCGGCCGGGCUUGCAUGCUUCCAGUCUUUCCCUGAAGGCACCAUUUGGGGGCAGUGGGCGAGGUCCCCGGGCCUCGGCUGCAGCUUUUCCUUAAGGUGUUCUUCAGGGGGGCGGAGGCUCAGGUCCGUAGUCACCUCCACUGCCCCCUUAACGUGUCAUUUGGGGGGGCGGCGGGCAGGGCUGGUUUGUCUCUGCGCGCGGUCCUUUCUUAAGGCAUGAUUUGGGUCUGCAGUGGGGAGGGCCGGAGGACCCCCGCAGUCCUCCCUUAGGGUGUCAUUUGUGGGGGGCAGCGGCAAGGUCCGUAGGCCCCCACUGUCCUCCCUUCAGAUACCAUUCGGGUUGGCAGUGGGUCUGGUCUGAACCCCUGUAGUUCUCACUUACUGCCUUUCGGGGGGGGCAGCGGGCCAGGCCCGUCGGGCUUGGCCCGCGGCCCCUCCUUAAGGCAUCACUUGGGGCUGCAGUGGGGGAGGGCCUGGAGGUCGCCGCUGUCUGCUCUCGGGGUCAUCUUGCCGAGCUGUGGUGUGGUGCUGCCCUGCUCGCAAACGGGUCAAGCACUGACAGUCUUUCACACCCCCAAGCCCGAGCUACGGUGUGGUGCUGCCUAGCUCUGUGGGCGGUCAAGCACUGGUGGUCACUUGAGGGGGCUUGUGCCCUCUCAAGGCCAUCCCAUGGGGAAGCACGAGCACAGGGGGUACCGCUGAAGAAAACCAGCAGAGAAGACGACGCAAAAGCAGGUGUGAGCCGGCCUGCUAUUUAAUGGACAAAUAAAAUUGAUCUGCCAGGCACCUCCUUGGUGUCUGGUACCUUUCAUCUCCAAGUUCAUCCUUCCCCGCUGCGCUGUUUCUCUCCUCUUCUCUCCUGUUAUUUCGCAUCCAAGUUUCCCCACCCGCUGCCCCCUUCAAUUUCUGCAGUGGUUCCCUUGUAACCACUGUGUGUGUCCUGAGUGUGCGCUGAGUGUGUCGGAGCUGGUCGUCCAGGAUGCUGAAUCCCUUGCUGAAAAGGGAUUGAUGGAAGACAUCGCUUGCCUGGACCGGCCACCUGAGGCUGCAGCCCCGAAUCCCGCGAGACCGGUCCCCUUUGAAGGUCGAUGCGCAUCGCCCCAGGAAGGACAAGCAGACGGGAUGGCAGGCGAGCAGCAGUGAGCUGACCAGGAGGGAAGAAGGCCAGGCCAGCCAAACAGGAGGUAAAGGCCUCGGAAGAACGGGAAGGAGACGCGGAUGGGGAAAGCAGAGGGGAAGAGGCGAGGUAGGAGAAAAGCCAGUCAGAGAAACAGGAUGUGAAGGAAAGGGACUCUGGACAGAGUGGCAUCCCUGCCUUCAGGUCUCAAUCAUGUCUUAGCCAAAUUUCGGCUUUGUGAGCCUUUGGGCGAGCUCCCUGUAACUCAGAAACGAGUCUCUGCCCUUGAUGUUGUUGCACUUUUGCAGCAGUCAGGUGGAAGGCGGACAACCCUGUAAUCGAGGUGUGUCACCACCACCAUGUUUGUAAAGGCCGCGGAUCUGGUUAGUGGUCUUGCACAGCACAGUCCCACCCUGUCAUCAGUCGAGGCCAGCUGUCAGACUUGGCUGCCAGUUGCACAGCAACCCGUAAGUGGGGUGCGUGCUGCUUUCUAACAUGAGAAAAAAUGUCUAGCGCUGGACAUCCUGUAAUUGGGAGUCAAAGUUCACUGCUAUUCCUGGCCAGUCGAAGAGGAGCCCCUGUAAGCAGAGUGGACGUAGCCGCCUUCCACUGGCCUUAGAGAGCUGGAGCAGUUUGCAGUGUUGUGCCGCAGGGCGGUCUUGCACACCAGAGCCGAGCCUCAUGGGGUGACAGCCAACUCUUUAGACCCCAGAACUUGAUGACUUUCCCGUGGUCUGGGUUGAAGUCUGUGGCCUCCUCUCCCCCUGUGUCCAGGCACCUGUCCUUUUUCAUGCAUCUGUGUCUGACUUCACGUCUGGACUCCUGGGCCGCCCUGUAACAAGGGUGCAAGUCCCGUGCCUCUGGUGGAAGGCUAAAUAGCGCAGAGCAGUGGACAUCCCUGUAAGCAGGGUGCAGCUCUCUCUCACUUUGGGGACAGCCCUGUCCUUUGCCUGGCCUGGUGGCCCCCCCUGUAAGUAGGGCUGUGGUCCUCUCCCUUUUGCCCGCUGUGGGCAGCCUGACUAGCCAGGCGGGCCGUGCCCUGUAACGAGGGCGCCGGUCUCAGCCUUGUCGCCCCCUGGGAGCGGAGGAGGAUUUUCAGUGUAAGGCUCGAGGUCAAGCAGUUCGCAGCAUCGAACUCCUUUCCAGCUUGGGAACACUUUUUACCCUUGUGAGAGUGUGGAGAGCGAGAGAGAGGAGCGCCUGGGAGCGAAAGCGUUUGUUAUUUUCUUUUUGUUCUUAAAAUCGCUGCAGCGUACUUUGUUUUCUUCCCAGUGCUGGAAAAGGGGUGAGAUGCGUCCUCGUAGCCUUCUCCUCCCACCUCCAUACCUAGGGGGACGGAUAUCCAGGCCUUUUGGUCUUGGGGAGCAUUAGGCCCCCUCUCUAAUAAUUUUGGGCACACGGCCUCCCUGUAGUUCGGGGUACAGGCCUUAGGCCCCCUCUUUUUGGGGUCCUUUGGGCACUUGGUAGUUCGAUUGCAGUUCCUGCUCUCCUUGAGAGACAGCCACGUGUUCCCCAGCUGAGUCCCUGGGGACGAGUGCCCUGGCACUUGGCCAGCCCUUGCUCUGCGCCCCCGCCCCCAGUCUGCAGCCUGUAAGCAGGGUCCAGGCCCCCUUGCUUCUCCGGGUCGGGUCUCAUCCCACUCGGUGAGGUUGGCCACAGAUGAUCCCCACAGACUGCAGCGAAGGUUGCAGGCUUGUGGAGGAUACUGGGUGCGCUGGGACUCCUGACGCUUCGUGACCUUCCUGUAACUCAGGUCCAGGUCUCUGCUCUGCUGCUCCUGGCACCAUUGAGAUGGUCUCCUCUCACACCCUGUAAACAGGGCUGUGCCCCGCCCAACCCCUCUGACCUUGUGGGAGGAGGCCUCCUUUAGCCCUUUGGGCUCUUGUGCCCAUCAUGAUAGGUGGCUGAAGCCAUAACCUUUGUGUCCCCAGACACAGGGCUGCUUUGAGCCCUGAUUGAGACCACCUGAGGCACCCGUCAGCUGGCAUUCAGGGCUUUACAGGUUUUCUCUGGGCUUCAUGCCCCGCAGCCAGCUGUGUGCAGCAAGCACCGCCCUGUAAGCAGGGUUGCCGGUGUCUGUGGUCACCUUCAUGGUGCCGUCCUAGCACUUCUGUCCAGAGUCCUGGCCCGUUGCACUCUGCUCCUGGCUGGCCCAGAUGUCGGCAGCCCAGACCACAGACAUCUGACGUCCCCCAUCUCCACGGAUAGAGGACAGAUCAGCACCAGAUUCAGGCCCUGAUAGGAGCAGCUGGAAAGAUGGCGCACAAGCAGGAGUCAGCGGACAAGGAGGGAGGAAAACCAUGCAAAGCUGCCAGAUGGACGAGCAGCGGGCGAACCACACCAGGGCGGAAAGCCAGGAAAAUGGGAUGCGAAGGGAAAGGACUCUGGACGGAGUGAUCUCCCUGCCUUUAAGUAUCAGUCAUGUAUUAGUCAAAUUUUGGCUGCAUGAGCUCUCUGUAACGCAGUAACAAGCUUGUGCGUUUGAUGCUGUUCCGCUUCUGCGGCAGUUGGGUGGAAGUGGACAACCCUGUAAGCAAGGUGUGUGUCACCGCCACCUCCUUUGUAAAGAGUGUGGAUCUACUCAGUGGUCUUGCGCAGUGGGGCUGCCCUGUAAGCGGGGCCCGGGCCAGCUGCCAGACAUGACUGCCAGGGGCGCAGCCUCCUGUGAGUAGGGUGUAUGGUGCGUCUUACUGUGUAAGAAAGACAGGCAGUUUGAAUGUCCCUAGCAUUGGACGUCCUGUAAUUGGGAGUCAAAGUCCACUGCUGUUCCCAGCCAGUCGGAGAGGAGCCCCUGUAAGCAGGAUGGACGUAGCCUCUUUCCACUGGCAUAGACAGCCGGAGCAGUCUGCAGCGCUGUGCUGAAGGGCGGCCUCGCAUACUGGAGCCGAGUCUCGUGGGAUGACGGCAAACUCCUUAGACCCCAGAGCUUGAUGACCUUCCCGUGGUCUGGGUUGAAGCCCGUGGCCUCCUCUCUGAUCCUUGUGUCCAGGCACCUGUCCUUUUUCAUGCAUCUAUGCCUGGCACUCCACAUCCAGACAGCUGGGCCACCCUGUAAGGAGGGUGCGAGUCCCACAUCCCUUGGUGCAGGGUUAGAUUGCGCAGAGCUGUGGACCCCCCUGUAAGCAGGGUCCAGGUCUCAGUGUGCCUUUGAGGGCAGCCCUGUUCUUGGUCUGGCUGUGGGCCCCGCCUGUAAGCAGGGCUGUGGGCCUUUCCCUUUUGCCCCUCUUGGGCAGUGUGGCAAGUGAGAUGGACUGUGCCCUGUAAGGAGGGUACGAGUCCCACGUUUCUUGGUGGAGGGCUAAAUUGUGCAGAGCUGUGCACCACCCUGUAAACAGGGCCCAGGUCUCUAUGUGCCCUUGGGCACAGCCCUGUCCUUUGCCAGGCCUGACCGCCCCCUCUGUAAGCAGGGCUGUGGGCCUUUCCCUUUUGCCUGUCUUGGGCAGUGUGGCAAGUGAGACGGACCAUGUCCUGUAACGAGGGUGUGAGUCCCGUGUCUCUUGGUGGAGGGCUAGAUUGCGCAGAGCAGUGGACCACCCUGUAAGCAGGGUCCAGGUCUCAAUGUGCAUUUGGGGACAGCUCUGUCUUUUGGCUGGCUGUGGCCCUCCUUGUAACCAGGGCUAUGGGCCUUUCCCUUUUGCCCCUCUUGGGCAGUGUGGCUAGUCACACGGACUGUGCCCUGUAAUGAGGGUACGAGUCCUGUGCAUCCUGUUGCACGCCUAGGUUCUGCAGAGCUGUGGCCUGCCCUGUAAGCAGGUUUCAGGUCUCUACGUGCCUUUGGGGACAGUCCUGUCCUUUGCCAGGCCUGACGGCCCCCCCUGUAAGCAGGGCUGUGGUCCUCUCCCUUUUGCCCGCCGUGGGCAGCCUGACUAGCCAGGUGGGCCGUGCCCUGUAACGAGGGUGCUGGUCUCAGCUUUCUUGCCCCCUAGGAGCGGAGGAGGAUUUUCAGUGUAAGGUUGGAGGUCAAGCAGUUUGCAGCAUCGAUCUCCUUUCCAGCCUGGGAACACUUUUUACCCUUGUGAGAGUGUGGAGAACGAGAGAGAGGAGCGCCUGGGAGUGAAAGCGUUUGUUAUUUUCUUUUUGUUCUUAAAAUCGCUGCAGCGUACUUUGUUUUCUUCCCAGUGCUGGGAAAGGGGCGAGAUGCGUCCUCGUAGCCUUCUCCUCCCACCUCCUCACCUAGGGGGACGGAUUUCCAGGCCUUUUGGUCUCAGGGAGCAUUAGGCCCCCUCUCUAAUACUUGGGGGCACACGGCCUCCCUGUAGUUUGGGGUACAGGCCUUAGACCCCCUCUUUUUGGGAUCCUUUGGGCACUUGGUAGCUCGAUUGCAGUUCCUGCCCUCCUUGAGAGACAGCCACGUGUUCCCCAGCCGAGUCCCUGGGGACGAGUGCCCUGGCACUUGGCCAGCCCUUGCUCUGCGCCCCCGCCCCCGGCCUGCAGCCCGUAAGCAGGGUCCAGGCCCCCUUGCUUCUCUGGGUUGGGUCUCGUCCCACUCGGUGAGGUUGGCCACAGAUGAUCCCCACAGACUGCAGGGAAGGUUGCAGGCUUGUGGAGGAUACUGGGUGCGCUGGGACCCCUGAGGCUUUGUGACCUUCCUGUAACUCGGGUCCAGGUCUCUGCUCUGCUGCUCCUGGCACCAUUGAGAUGGUCUCCUCUCGCACCCUGUAAACAGGGCUGUGCCCCCCCAGCCCCUCUGACCUGGGGGGAGGAGGCCUCCUUUAGCCCUUUGGGCUCUGUAGCAGCCACGAUGGGUGUCUGAAGUAAUGGCCUUUGUGUCCCCAGACACGAGGCUGCUUUGAGCCCUGAUUGAGACUGCCUGAGGCACCCGUCAGCUGGCAUUCAGGGCUUUACAGGUUUUCUCUGGGCUUCAUGCCCCGCAGCCAGCUGUGUGCAGGGAGCACCGCCCUGUAAGCAGGGUUGCCGGUGUCUGUGGUAACCUUCAUGGUGCCGUCCUAGCACUUCUGUCCGGAGUCCUGGCCCUUCGUGCUCUGCUCCUGCCUGGCCCAGGUGUCGGCAGCCCAGACCACAGAUUUCUGCCUUCCCCACUUUCCACGGAUAGAGGACAGUGGCCACAGGCCCAGAGGAAGAAGCAGGGAAGACAACAGACAAAUAGGAGUUAACCUAUAACCAGGGCAGAAAACAGUGCCAGCCCACCGGGAGACAAAGGUCCCUGAAGAGCAGCUGGAGAAGAAGGAACAGAAAGCAGGACAAGAAAGCUCAGAAACAACAAGUGUGGGUUGGUGUGGGCAGGAGGAAGAGAGGCACAUGUUUAAUAUAUGCUUAGAUAAGUACAGAUGGAGACUGUCAUGUGCAUCUCUACACUUUCAAACACUCAGUAGGAGCAAGCUGCUGCACGCUUCAAUUUGCACUAUGGACUCGGUCUUGGGUUGGCCCUAUUUGUAGGCAGUGAGGUUGAGGCGUUGUGCGUAUUUGGUUGGCUGCGAUUUGUAGGCAGUGAGGUUGAGGAGGUGUGCUAGUUGUGCGUAUUGAUAUGUGGCGGUCUAGGUUUUUGCAGGUUGUUUGCUGUUGCUAGUUUAGGAGUUGAUCAAAAUAGAUGUGACUGAAGGUAGCGUGUAGGGUUUUCUGGGUUGGGUUGUCAGUGUUGGUGUGGAAAUGCAGUUGUGCGCUCAGUUCGGUUAGUGGCUUGGCUGUAGCUUGCUUUAGCCGUAGGUUGUGGGGCCAGUUUGAGGCUGUUUGUGGUGCAAUUUGGUUGCGUCUGUAAGUUGAAGCUCCAUGGGUGUUUGAAAAGGUUCAUCUCCAUCCCCAUACAUGAAGAUCUGUGUUCAAACGAUCCUAGCGGUAGUUGGCAUGCUUAGCGUCCAACCGGAUGUGCACAAUCGAACAAUAAACAGUAUAAAAAACCUUUUCACCUUGUGCCUGGUGCUCUUCUACACUGAAAGGACUUGGCCAUUACCCUUUCCUGUUGUGAGCUGGCUGGAGGAAUAAUAAACUUUCAUUUUGUCUACCGAUCUGAUCUGUCUUGUUGAAUAAAAAUAUGUCCUGUUCUGAUUUAAAAAUAGUCAAAUAAUAUGACAGGUGAUGCCUAGUCACCAAUUGACAACUGUAAAUGCACUGUAGGAAAUCAGUCCUGAUUUAUUUGAGAAAAUAAAAAAUAAUGUACGGUCAAGUUGUGGUGCUUGGGUGCAAUCUGUUGAAGUUCAGCUGUCCCUUGUCUCCAAAGAAAAAAAUGGUCCCAAUAAAAAGAAAAUGGUCAGAAAACUG
Long non-coding RNA from Alligator mississippiensis (American alligator), 8383 nucleotides. RefSeq lists it as uncharacterized. The record is from RefSeq and is a predicted model, not a curated record. Lineage: Eukaryota; Metazoa; Chordata; Crocodylia; Alligatoridae. The transcript has 6 exons.